Molecule: ribosomal RNA, 445 nt
Filed under: uncultured bacterium
Lineage: Bacteria
Description: partial 16S ribosomal RNA
Rfam family: Bacterial small subunit ribosomal RNA
Source: RNAcentral
GUGAGGAAUAUUGGUCAAUGGGCGGGAGCCUGAACCAGCCAAGUCGCGUGAAGGAAGAAGGAUCUAUGGUUCGUAAACUUCUUUUGCAGGGGAAUAAAGUGCAGGACGUGUCCUGUUUUGUAUGUACCCUGAGAAUAAGGAUCGGCUAACUCCGUGCCAGCAGCCGCGGUAAUACGGAGGAUCCGAGCGUUAUCCGGAUUUAUUGGGUUUAAAGGGUGCGUAGGUGGUUCGAUAAGUCAGCGGUGAAAGUUUGCAGCUUAACUGUAAAAAUGCCGUUGAAACUGUCGGACUUGAGUGUAAAUGAGGUAGGCGGAAUGCGUGGUGUAGCGGUGAAAUGCAUAGAUAUCACGCAGAACUCCGAUUGCGAAGGCAGCUUACUAAGCUACAACUGACACUGAAGCACGAAAGCGUGGGGAUCAAACAGGAUUAGAAACCCCUGUAGUCC